GUGCCAGCCGCCGCGGUAAUACAGAGGUCCCAAGCGUUGUUCGGAUUUACUGGGCGUAAAGGGUGCGUAGGCGGCGAGGAAAGUUUGAGGUGAAAUCUCCAGGCUCAACUUGGAAAAUGCCUUGAAGACUUCCUUGCUCGAGGGUCGUAGAGGAGACUGGAAUUCUCGGUGUAGCAGUGAAAUGCGUAGAUAUCGAGAGGAACACCAGUGGCGAAAGCGGGUCUCUGGACGACACCUGACGCUGAGGCACGAAAGCCAGGGGAGCAAACGGGAUUAGAAACCCGCGUAGUCC
This 292-nucleotide ribosomal RNA is filed under the name uncultured bacterium. Its description in RNAcentral is "partial 16S ribosomal RNA". It matches the Rfam family "Bacterial small subunit ribosomal RNA", at positions 505 to 796 of the family's 1533-position model. The record is from RNAcentral.